UUAAGUUCAGCGGGUAUCCCUACCCGAUCCGAGGUCAACCUUGAUGAUGGUGUUUAGCGGCGUGGGUUCUCCGUCCCUCCAGCGAAUUGAUGGAUCACAACGCUGGGAUCGGGGUCCUCCAGCCGGGUCAAUUGGGGCGCGGGCGGGUCACGGCCCGUCGCCCAAUACCAAGCAGGCUUGAGUGGUGAAAUGACGCUCGA
This 200-nucleotide unclassified non-coding RNA is filed under the name Mycosphaerellaceae sp. RNAcentral's name for it is "partial internal transcribed spacer 2". Lineage: Eukaryota; Fungi; Ascomycota; Dothideomycetes; Mycosphaerellales; Mycosphaerellaceae. The record is from RNAcentral.